CAGUGGUGAAAUCUUCACAGCUUAAACUGUGAAACUGCCAUUUGAUACUGCAGGUUCUUGAGUAAAUUUGAAGUGGCUGGAAUAAGUAGUGUAGCGGUGAAAUGCAUAGAUAUUUACUUAGAACACCAAUUGCGAAGGCAGGUCACUAAGAUUUAACUGACGCUGAUGGACGAAAGCGUGGGGAGCGAACAGGAUUAGAUACCCUGGUAGUCCACGCCGUAAACGAUGCUAACUCGUUUUUGGGGUUUCGGCUUCAGAGACUAAGCGAAAGUGAUAAGUUAGCCACCUGGGGAGUACGUUCGCAAGAAUGAAACUCAAAGGAAUUGACGGGGGCCCGCACAAGCGGUGGAUUAUGUGGUUUAAUUCGAUGAUACGCGAGGAACCUUACCAAGACUUAAAUGGGAAUUGACAGAUUUAGAAAUAGAUCUUUCUUCGGACAAUUUUCAAGGUGCUGCAUGGUUGUCGUCAGCUCGUGCCGUGAGGUGUUAGGUUAAGUCCUGCAACGAGCGCAACCCCUGUCACUAGUUGCUACCAUUCAGUUGAGGACUCUAGUGAGACUGCCUACGCAAGUAGAGAGGAAGGUGGGGAUGACGUCAAAUCAUCACGGCCCUUACGUCUUGGGCCACACACGUAAUACAAUGGCCGGUACAGAGGGCAGCUACACAGCGAUGUGAUGCAAAUCUCGAAAGCCGGUCUCAGUUCGGAUUGGAGUCUGCAACUCGACUCUAUGAAGCUGGAAUCGCUAGUAAUCGCGCAUCAGGCCAUGGCGCGGUGAAUACGUUCCCGGGCCUUGUCCUUAAAGGGGCCGUCAAGCCAUGGAAGUCUGGGGUACCCUGAAGUCGGUGACCCGUAAAGGAAGCGCCAGGAAA
RNAcentral lists this ribosomal RNA (869 nucleotides) under Chryseobacterium sp. 845H3. Its description in RNAcentral is "bacterial SSU rRNA". It matches the Rfam family "Bacterial small subunit ribosomal RNA", at positions 589 to 1465 of the family's 1533-position model. The record is from RNAcentral. Lineage: Bacteria; Pseudomonadati; Bacteroidota; Flavobacteriia; Flavobacteriales; Weeksellaceae.